This 253-nucleotide ribosomal RNA is filed under the name uncultured bacterium. Its description in RNAcentral is "partial 16S ribosomal RNA". It matches the Rfam family "Bacterial small subunit ribosomal RNA", at positions 524 to 776 of the family's 1533-position model. The record is from RNAcentral.
UACGGGGGGGGCAAGCGUUGUUCGGAAUUACUGGGCGUAAAGGGCUCGUAGGUGGCCAACUAAGUCAGACGUGAAAUCCCUCAGCUUAACCGGGGAACUGCGUCUGAUACUGGAUGGCUUGAGUUCGGGAGAGGGAUGCGGAAUUCCAGGUGUAGCGGUGAAAUGCGUAGAUAUCUGGAGGAACACCGGUGGCGAAGGCGGCAUCCUGGACCGACACUGACGCUGAGGAGCGAAAGCGUGGGGAGCAAACAGG